GUCGAACGCAUCCUUCGGGGUGAGUGGCAGACGGGUGAGUAACGCGUGGGAACGUGCCCUUCAGUUCGGAAUAACCCAGGGAAACUUGGGCUAAUACCGGAUACGUGCGAGAGCAGAAAGAUUUAUCGCUGAAGGAUCGGCCCGAGUCUGAUUAGCUAGUUGGUGAGGUAAUGGCUCACCAAGGCGACGAUCAGUAGCUGGUCUGAGAGGAUGAUCAGCCACAUUGGGACUGAGACACGGCCCAAACUCCUACGGGAGGCAGCAGUGGGGAAUAUUGGACAAUGGGCGCAAGCCUGAUCCAGCCAUGCCGCGUGAGUGAUGAAGGCCUUAGGGUUGUAAGCUCUUUCGUCCGGGACGAUAAUGACGGUACCGGAAGAAGAAGCCCCGGCUAACUUCGUGCCAGCAGCCGCGGUAAUACGAAGGGGGCUAGCGUUGUUCGGAAUCACUGGGCGUAAAGGGGCGCGUAGGCGGCUUUGUAAGUCGGGGGUGAAGCCUGUGGCUCAACCACAGAAUUGCCUUCGAUACUGCAUGGCUUGAGACCGGAAGAGGUUAGUGGAAUCUGCGAGUGUAGAGGUGAAAUUCGUAGAUAUUCGCAAGAACACACGGUGGCGAAGGCGGCUGAC
This 623-nucleotide ribosomal RNA is filed under the name uncultured Alphaproteobacteria bacterium. RNAcentral describes it as "bacterial SSU rRNA". It matches the Rfam family "Bacterial small subunit ribosomal RNA", at positions 61 to 729 of the family's 1533-position model. The record is from RNAcentral. Lineage: Bacteria; Pseudomonadati; Pseudomonadota; Alphaproteobacteria.